GACGAACGCUGGCGGCGUGCCUAAUACAUGCAAGUUGAGCGAUGAAGAUUGGUGCUUGCACCAAUUUGAAGAGCAGCGAACGGGUGAGUAACGCGUGGGGAAUCUGCCUUUGAGCGGGGGAUAACAUUUGGAAACGAACGCUAAUACCGCAUAACAACUUUAAACAUAAGUUUUAAGUUUGAAAGAUGCAAUUGCAUCACUCAAAGAUGAUCCCGCGUUGUAUUAGCUAGUUGGUGAGGUAAAGGCUCACCAAGGCGAUGAUACAUAGCCGACCUGAGAGGGUGAUCGGCCACAUUGGGACUGAGACACGGCCCAAACUCCUACGGGAGGCAGCAGUAGGGAAUCUUCGGCAAUGGACGAAAGUCUGACCGAGCAACGCCGCGUGAGUGAAGAAGGUUUUCGGAUCGUAAAACUCUGUUGGUAGAGAAGAACGUUGGUGAGAGUGGAAAGCUCAUCAAGUGACGGUAACUACCCAGAAAGGGACGGCUAACUACGUG
This 497-nucleotide ribosomal RNA is filed under the name uncultured bacterium. Its description in RNAcentral is "partial 16S ribosomal RNA". It matches the Rfam family "Bacterial small subunit ribosomal RNA", at positions 28 to 507 of the family's 1533-position model. The record is from RNAcentral.